GAUGAACGCUGGCGGCGUGCCUAAUACAUGCAAGUCGAACGCAUUGAGAGAAGUGCUUGCACUUUUCAAUUUGAGAGGCGAACGGGUGAGUAACACGUGGGCAACCUACCUGAUAGCAGGGGAUAACGAGUGGAAACAUUCGCUAAUACCGCAUAACAAUAGAGAAGGCAUCUUCUUUAUUUAAAAGGCGCUUUCAAGCGUCACUAUCAGAUGGGCCCGCGGUGCAUUAGUUAGUUGGUGGGGUGAAGGCCUACCAAGACGAUGAUGCAUAGCCGAGUUGAGAGACUGAUCGGCCACAGUGGGACUGAGACACGGCCCAAACUCCUACGGGAGGCUGCAGUAGGGAAUCCUCCACAAUGGACGAAAGUCUGAUGGAGCAACGCCGCGUGUGUGAUGAAGGCUUUCGGGUCGUAAAGCACUGUUGUAUGGGAAGAAAUGCUAGGCUAGGAAAUGAGCUUAGUUUGACGGUACCAUACCAGAAAGGGACGGCUAAAUACGUGCCAGCCGCCGCCGUAA
Molecule: ribosomal RNA, 516 nt
Filed under: uncultured bacterium
Lineage: Bacteria
Description: partial 16S ribosomal RNA
Rfam family: Bacterial small subunit ribosomal RNA
Source: RNAcentral